Molecule: ribosomal RNA, 859 nt
Filed under: Streptococcus agalactiae
Lineage: Bacteria; Bacillati; Bacillota; Bacilli; Lactobacillales; Streptococcaceae
Description: bacterial SSU rRNA
Rfam family: Bacterial small subunit ribosomal RNA
Source: RNAcentral
CGAACGCUGGCGGCGUGCCUAAUACAUGCAAGUAGAACGCUGAGGUUUGGUGUUUACACUAGACUGAUGAGUUGCGAACGGGUGAGUAACGCGUAGGUAACCUGCCUCAUAGCGGGGGAUAACUAUUGGAAACGAUAGCUAAUACCGCAUAAGAGUAAUUAACACAUGUUAGUUAUUUAAAAGGAGCAAUUGCUUCACUGUGAGAUGGACCUGCGUUGUAUUAGCUAGUUGGUGAGGUAAAGGCUCACCAAGGCGACGAUACAAAGCCGACCUGAGAGGGUGAUCGGCCACACUGGGACUGAGACACGGCCCAGACUCCUACGGGAGGCAGCAGUAGGGAAUCUUCGGCAAUGGACGGAAGUCUGACCGAGCAACGCCGCGUGAGUGAAGAAGGUUUUCGGAUCGUAAAGCUCUGUUGUUAGAGAAGAACGUUGGUAGGAGUGGAAAAUCUACCAAGUGACGGUAACUAACCAGAAAGGGACGGCUAACUACGUGCCAGCAGCCGCGGUAAUACGUAGGUCCCGAGCGUUGUCCGGAUUUAUUGGGCGUAAAGCGAGCGCAGGCGGUUCUUUAAGUCUGAAGUUAAAGGCAGUGGCUUAACCAUUGUACGCUUUGGAAACUGGAGGACUUGAGUGCAGAAGGGGAGAGUGGAAUUCCAUGUGUAGCGGUGAAAUGCGUAGAUAUAUGGAGGAACACCGGUGGCGAAAGCGGCUCUCUGGUCUGUAACUGACGCUGAGGCUCGAAAGCGUGGGGAGCAAACAGGAUUAGAUACCCUGGUAGUCCACGCCGUAAACGAUGAGUGCUAGGUGUUAGGCCCUUUCCGGGGCUUAGUGCCGCAGCUAACGCAUUAAUCACUCCG